Non-coding RNA from Brachypodium distachyon (stiff brome), 136 nucleotides. Lineage: Eukaryota; Viridiplantae; Streptophyta; Magnoliopsida; Poales; Poaceae. The record is from Rfam.
UUAGUACUCCCUCCAUCCAACAAUGGAUGUGUCAACUUUGACUAAAUUUGAAUGCAUCUAUACACUAAGUUAUGUCUAAAUACAUCCAAAUUUUGACAAACUUGAAACAUCUUUUGUUGGACGGAGGGAGUAAUAC